GACGAACGCUGGCGGCGUGCUUAACACAUGCAAGUCUACGAGAAUAAGGUAGCAAUAUCUUUAGUAAAGUGGCGCACGGGUGCGUAACACGUAAGCAAUCUACCUUUGGGUUUGGAAUAACUUCGAGAAAUCGAGGCUAAUACCGAAUAAUGCAGCGGCACCGCAUGGUGAUGUUGUUAAAGUUUAAGUAAUGCCUAUAGAUGAGCUUGCGUCUGAUUAGCUAGUUGGUAGGGUAAUGGCCUACCAAGGCUACGAUCAGUAGCUGGUCUGAGAGGAUGAUCAGCCACACUGGAACUGAGACACGGUCCAGACUCCUACGGGAGGCAGCAGUGAGGAAUAUUGGGCAAUGCCCGCAAGGGUGACCCAGCAACGCCGCGUGGAGGAUGAAGGCCGUAAGGUUGUAAACUCCUGUUAGAGGAGA
This 421-nucleotide ribosomal RNA is filed under the name uncultured bacterium. RNAcentral's name for it is "bacterial SSU rRNA". It matches the Rfam family "Bacterial small subunit ribosomal RNA", at positions 28 to 445 of the family's 1533-position model. The record is from RNAcentral.